RNAcentral lists this ribosomal RNA (773 nucleotides) under uncultured Neocallimastigales. RNAcentral describes it as "partial large subunit ribosomal RNA". It matches the Rfam family "Eukaryotic large subunit ribosomal RNA", at positions 23 to 639 of the family's 3401-position model. Lineage: Eukaryota; Fungi; Neocallimastigomycota; Neocallimastigomycetes; Neocallimastigales. The record is from RNAcentral.
AGAGAGAGACAUGCGCGCAUAUCAAUAAGCGGAGGAAAAGAAACUAACAAGGAUUCCCCUAGUAACGGCGAGUGAAGCGGGAAGAGCUCAAAUUUGAAAUCUUAAAGGGUUUCCCUUUACGAAUUGUAGUUUGAAGAAGUGUUUUCUGUUGAGGUUUUGGUAAAAGUUCCUUGGAAUAGGACAUCAUAGAGGGUGAGAAUCCCGUAUUUGACCUUUACUUUCAACUUUGUGAUACACUUUCAAAGAGUCGGAUUGUUUGGGAAUGCAGUCCAAAAUGGGUGGUAAAUUUCAUCUAAAGCUAAAUAUUGGCGAGAGACCGAUAGCGAACAAGUACCGUGAGGGAAAGAUGAAAAGAACUUUGAAAAGAAAGUUAAACAGUACGUGAAAUUGUCAAAAGGGAAGCGUUUGACACCAGUGUUGUUUUUCUGAAAAUCAAUUAAAGAACUGUUUAUGCUAAGCUGUUUAGACUUUAUCAGCUAACUGUUUAGUUUUGAGCUUUUCUUUAAUGCACUUUUCAGUUAACAAGUCAACAUCAAUUUCUUUUGCUAUAAAAAAGCUUGAGGAAGGUGGCUUGAGAUUCGUCUUAAGUGUUUAUAGCCUCUUGCCUAUGCAGUCGGAGAGAUUGAGGUCUGCAGCGUAGAUCCUUCGGGGCUAAAUGCAUUUGUGCUAAGUUAUAGCAUUUUAUAGACAACUUGUUGACUAUGAUUUGUCUUGUAGCUUACUCGCUUAUGUUAUUUUACCUACGCUUAGGAUGUUGAGCGCAUGUCUCUCUC